Molecule: ribosomal RNA, 546 nt
Filed under: uncultured bacterium
Lineage: Bacteria
Description: bacterial SSU rRNA
Rfam family: Bacterial small subunit ribosomal RNA
Source: RNAcentral
GUCGAGCGGUAGAGAGAAGCUUGCUUCUCUUGAGAGCGGCGGACGGGUGAGUAAUGCCUAGGAAUCUGCCUGGUAGUGGGGGAUAACGCUCGGAAACGGACGCUAAUACCGCAUACGUCCUACGGGAGAAAGCAGGGGACCUUCGGGCCUUGCGCUAUCAGAUGAGCCUAGGUCGGAUUAGCUAGUUGGUGGGGUAAUGGCUCACCAAGGCGACGAUCCGUAACUGGUCUGAGAGGAUGAUCAGUCACACUGGAACUGAGACACGGUCCAGACUCCUACGGGAGGCAGCAGUGGGGAAUAUUGGACAAUGGGCGAAAGCCUGAUCCAGCCAUGCCGCGUGUGUGAAGAAGGUCUUCGGAUUGUAAAGCACUUUAAGUUGGGAGGAAGGGCAGUAACCUAAUACCUUGCUGUCUUGACGUUACCGACAGAAUAAGCACCGGCUAACUCUGUGCCAGCAGCCGCGGUAAUACAGAGGGUGCAAGCGUUAAUCGGAAUUACUGGGCGUAAAGCGCGCGUAGGUGGUUUGUUAAGUUGGAUGUGAAAUCC